UAAAAAGCCUCCGAAUCACAGAAUCUCAGGAGAGACCUUGGUGCUUUUUCAUCCAAGUUAGACCUGGCAAUGAAUACCUUUUACUAGAAACCCAACAAAUGCUCAGACAUCCUUUACAAGAACACAUCCAGAGAGGGGGAAACCAUUGCGUGCCAAGGCAGUCCAUUCCUCUUUUGAGCAGCUCUAACUGUUCUUACUGACAUCAAACCCAAGUCACCUCUUCAGAAGAUGCUCUCCUUGUUCUUAGUUCUUCCCUCUGGGGCCAAGCAGAACAAGGCUAAUCCCUCUUCCACAUGACAGCUCUUCAAAUACUUGAGGGCAGCAUCUCUCCUCUCCCACCUCUCAACGUGGAAGACUGGUUCCUUUUCCCUGGAUGCUGCUGCUAAACCCUGACAGUGGCUCUAUCUCCUAGCAGACUCAAGUCCAUCUCCUGAGAGGUGCUGCCGGACUGGAGGAAGGAGCAUUCAUCUGGCGAUUUGCACACACAGGAUGGGGAUGCCAUUGCUGUUCCAGUGGCUGAAGUUAGAGCUGUCUUGGCAAGAUAGCAUCUGAAGUCCAAAUUGGAUCUAGCAGUUUUAUCUCCCCAGUACUUCUACCGUUGCUGCCCUGGAGCCCAUAGAGACAAAUCACAAAAGAAAAUUUCAAUUACCUUUUGUUGUUUACUUGGACAUUGACAAUGCAGCCCAGCUAAGUUGGGCAUAGAGCAGACUAUCAUUUAAUGAAGCUUAUCUUAUUGAUUUCCACAGUAAAAAUCAAUUUUAAAGAGAAGCUAAGAGGAAACUAUGGGUUAUUCACAUUGCAUCGACCUGAUUGCCACCUAUGUGACUAGGUGGUAUGGAUAAAGUAUUGGACUUGGAAAUCUUAGAUCUAGAAUGGGAAGAGACUUCAGAGAUCAACCCCCUCCUUUUACAGAGCAAACUGGAACUCAAGGAGACAAAGGGACUCCUUUAUUACAGAUGUGAUGUUUUUACGUUACUAGGAUUAGAGGUGAUCCAGUGACAAUGGCCUCCUUAUUGUUCCUCUAGAGCAUUAUCCCAUCUCGAGACUCUUAAUAUUUCAAUGUCUACCUCCCAUGACUGGAAUUCUCUCCCAUCCAUCUCCAUUUCCUGACUUCCUGGCUGCCCCCAAGUCCUAAGCAAAAUCCUAACUUCUGUAAGAAGCCUUUCCAUACCCCCCCUUUACUAAUUGUAUUUACCCAGAAUUGUUUCCAAUUUAUCCUCUGUAGAGUUUAUUUCUAAACCAUUCAUUUCAUGAUGUCUUCCUCUAUUAGAUUGUGAACUCCUUGAGAGUAAGGUGUAUGUUUUUUGUUAUUUUGUUUUUUUCUUUUAUUUUAAUCCCUAGCUCUUGAUACAGUGCCUGACAUAAAGUAAACAAUAAAUGCUUAUUGACUGAUUUCA
RNAcentral lists this long non-coding RNA (1397 nucleotides) under Monodelphis domestica (gray short-tailed opossum). Its description in RNAcentral is "lncRNA (ENSMODG00000037242.1)". The record is from RNAcentral. Lineage: Eukaryota; Metazoa; Chordata; Mammalia; Didelphimorphia; Didelphidae.